Non-coding RNA from Vicugna pacos (alpaca), 268 nucleotides. Lineage: Eukaryota; Metazoa; Chordata; Mammalia; Artiodactyla; Camelidae. The record is from RefSeq and is a predicted model, not a curated record.
AUUGCUAAACAUAAAGUACAUGAAAGGAAUCAGUUAACCAUGUAUUUGUGUACACUUUGAACCAUGAUGUGAUAUCUACCAUAAAUAUUUCAUUAGACAGCAUUUGUUUCACCUCUCGCCAGGGUUCAUUCAAGCCAUAUUCUCCUAGCUGUUCUCUCUGCCCAAAAUGAUGGGAUAUCAGUUUGCCAAGCUUCUUUUACCUUCUUUAAAUCUUUGCUCGAAUUUUACCUUUUAAGUUUGACCAAUCAAACUUAAAACUGACACCAAU